CGACGAAUCUUCCGCAAUGCACGAAAGUGUGACGGAGCAAUGCCGCGUGCGGGAUGAAGCGGCUUCGCCGUGUAAACCGCUGUCAGGGGCUAGAAAUACUGAUCAACCCCAAAGGAAGGGCCGGCUAACCUCGUGCCAGCAGCCGCGGUAAGACGAGGGGCCCGAGCGUUAAUCGGAAUCACUGGGCUUAAAGGGUGCGCAGGCGGAUGUGUAGGUGUCUUGUGAAAUCCCUCCGCUCAACGGAGGAACUGCAAGGCAAACCACAUGUCUUGAGGCAGGUAGGGGCCGUCGGAACGAUAGGUGGAGCGGUGAAAUGCGUAGAUAUCUAUCGGAACGCCAAAGGUGAAGACAGACGGCUGGGCCUGACCUGACGCUGAGGCACGAAAGCGUGGGGAGCAAACGGGAUUAGAUACCCCCGUAGUCC
RNAcentral lists this ribosomal RNA (424 nucleotides) under uncultured prokaryote. RNAcentral's name for it is "bacterial SSU rRNA". It matches the Rfam family "Bacterial small subunit ribosomal RNA", at positions 355 to 796 of the family's 1533-position model. The record is from RNAcentral.